RNAcentral lists this small RNA (321 nucleotides) under Histoplasma capsulatum var. duboisii H88. RNAcentral's name for it is "Histoplasma capsulatum H88 hypothetical RNA". The record is from RNAcentral. Lineage: Eukaryota; Fungi; Ascomycota; Eurotiomycetes; Onygenales; Ajellomycetaceae.
AUCUCUCUUGAGGAAUAGGUGGCUACCUUAAGGAUUGAUCUUUUUUGGCGUAGUGGUAAAACCUUCCUACAGGAUUGCAUGUUUUACAGGGAGUUCUAGCACGAUUGAACCGGGGAUCAAAUAACUAAAUAUCUUUUCUUCCCAGGGGGAAUCAAUUGAAUUUUUCUGAAAAAUGUAAAAAAAAAUAAAAAAUAAAAAUAAAGAAUAUAACAAUUCCAAUCCGGUCACUUCGAGUUCCUUUGUCAUUUCCACUCUUUCUCUCCUCCCCCAUUUUCAUUGUAUAACUUUUCUUUUUUGAAGGUCUGACUGAAUGUAGCCAGC